GACGAACGCUGGCGGCGUGCUUAACACAUGCAAGUCGUACGGUAAGGCCCUUUCGGGGGUACACGAGUGGCGAACGGGUGAGUAACACGUGAGUAACCUGCCCACAACUUUGGGAUAACGCUAGCAAACUGGUGCUAAUACUGGAUAUGUGCUCCUGCUGCAUGGUGGGGGUUGGAAAGCUCCUGCGGGUGUGGAUGGACUCGCGGCCUAACAGCUUGUUGGUGGGGUAGUGGCCUACCAAGGCGGCGACGGGUUGCCGGCCUGAAAGGGUGACCGCCCACAUUGGGACUGAGAUACGGCCCAGACACCUACGGGACGGAACAGAGGGAAGAAAUGCACAAUGAGCACCAGCCGGAUGCAGACACGCCGCGUGCGGGAGGACGGCCUUAGGGUUGUGAGCCGCUUUCAGCAGGGACGAAGCAUUUUGUGACGGUACCGGCAGAAGAAGCACAGGCUAACUACGUG
RNAcentral lists this ribosomal RNA (465 nucleotides) under uncultured bacterium. RNAcentral describes it as "partial 16S ribosomal RNA". It matches the Rfam family "Bacterial small subunit ribosomal RNA", at positions 28 to 507 of the family's 1533-position model. The record is from RNAcentral.